RNAcentral lists this ribosomal RNA (404 nucleotides) under Potamon ibericum. RNAcentral's name for it is "partial small subunit ribosomal RNA". The record is from RNAcentral. Lineage: Eukaryota; Metazoa; Arthropoda; Malacostraca; Decapoda; Potamidae.
UUAAACUAGGAUUAGAUACCCUAUUAUAUUAAAGUUAAAUCUGUAAAUACUGAAUUAUUAAUAGAUAUUUCUUGAAAUUUAAAGAAUUUGGCGGUAAUUUAGUCUUGUCAGAGGAACCUGUUUUUUAAUCGAUACACCACGUUAUAUCUUACUUAUUUUAAAUAGUUUGUAUACCAUCAUUAGUAGAUAAUUUUAAAAGGAAAAAUUAUUGAAAUUAAAUACGUUAAAAAAAUUAGAUCAAGGUGCAGCUAAUAAAUAAGUUAAAAUGGGUUACAAUAAAAUUUAUUUAUAUGAAAUAAUUUAAAAAAUUGAAUUAUAAAGGUGGAUUUGAUUGUAAUAUAAGUUUAAUAAGCUUAUAAGAUACAAGCUCUAAAUUAUGUACACAUCGCCCGUCACUCUCAAAA